UUUGCCUGGGAUCUGUCAGAGAGGAGGUUCGCUAAGUGCUGCAUCAGGGGGGCUGUGCUGGACAGAAGUGACAAAGUGCAAGCUGGUCUCCAUAUUGGAAGAGAAGGUUCUAGGUCUGGAGAAACAAGUAUCAACCGUGCGUUGCCUACGAGAAAAUGAAGAUUUCCUGGACAGACGUCAGGAUAUGCUUCUACGGGCACAACGUUCUGAAGAUUCAGAGCAGGCUGCCCAGAGUGGACAGAGGGACGGUGAAGAAAUUUGGCAGCAUGUGACCUCCAGAAGAAGAAAGAGGAGCGUCCAUGUACCAGCAAUGGAGAUACAGCUACGGGUUGCUCUGCAGAAACAUCUUCCUGAGCAUCUUUCUGGGUUUCAGUUGAGUCUAGAACGACUUCUGAGACAACUGACGUCCUCAAUCAUCAGAAGCUGAGAGACACAUUCUGUCUGCUCCUCAGAGAGAAGAUUGGAGAAAAACUCUUCCCCAGCAGAUAAACUGCCAUUCUUAACAGUCACCAGGUUUGGAAUUUCUUCCCCUUUGUUUCCAGACAAACUUUUGGAGAUUGGGAUAUCUCCCUCCAUGGGCAAGUUAUUACCCCCAACACACACAGUCCUAGGAACACUUCCUUCCUGGGUUUUAGUUGAGUCCAGAAUCACAUCUGGCAAAACUGACAAAUCCUCAGUCAGCAUAAACUGAGAGGUACUUUC
Molecule: long non-coding RNA, 702 nt
Organism: Malaclemys terrapin pileata
Lineage: Eukaryota; Metazoa; Chordata; Testudines; Emydidae
Exons: 3
Source: RefSeq, a predicted model, not a curated record